GCUCGCGGCCUAUCAGCUAGUUGGUGAGGUAAUGGCUCACCAAGGCGACGACGGGUAGCCGGCCUGAGAGGGCGACCGGCCACACUGGGACUGAGACACGGCCCAGACUCCUACGGGAGGCAGCAGUGGGGAAUAUUGCACAAUGGGCGAAAGCCUGAUGCAGCGACGCCGCGUGAGGGAUGACGGCCUUCGGGUUGUAAACCUCUUUCAGCAGGGAAGAAGCGAAAGUGACGGUACCUGCAGAAGAAGCACCGGCUAACUACGUGCCAGCAGCCGCGGUAAUACGUAGGGUGCGAGCGUUGUCCGGAAUUAUUGGGCGUAAAGAGCUUGUAGGCGGUUUGUCGCGUCUGCAGUGAAAAUCCGAGGCUCAACCUCGGACUUGCUGUGGGUACGGGCAGACUAGAGUAUGGUAGGGGAGACCGGAAUUCCUGGUGUAGCGGUGGAUUGCUCAGAUAUCAGGAGGAACACCGAUGGCGAAGGCAGCGUCUCUG
This 491-nucleotide ribosomal RNA is filed under the name uncultured bacterium. RNAcentral describes it as "bacterial SSU rRNA". It matches the Rfam family "Bacterial small subunit ribosomal RNA", at positions 229 to 731 of the family's 1533-position model. The record is from RNAcentral.